AUGCAUCCAUCAAGCAUGGACAAAGACACACAGGACGGGCGGUCACAACGACAACCCUUGUUUUCCCGGCUUAAGUGCGGCGAGGAGGAGACGCUAGCACCUAGGAGCACCGACGAGCGCCUCUACGUCACCGACGUCGUCCUCGUCCGCCCGGGGAGAGCAGCCGGCGGCCAGAGCGUCGUGGCCGCCUGCGUGGAGGUCGGCACGCGGAACCUCAUGCUCGGGAUGCUGUCGGCGGAGAACCCCUGUGUGAACCUGCAGACGCCCGUGGAGCUGGACAAUGAGUUUUGCUUUUACGUGGUACGUAUGGAAGACGGCUACGCCGCCGACGAUGACGCCGACACCUACGUGGACGCCAAUGCGGCAGUGGUCGAGUUUCAGGGUUUCGCUCUCGCUUCGCCGUCUCUCCACACGGAGGAGAAAGACGAUGACGACCACAAGGAAGGGCAGGAGACUGACGGCGAGAUUAACCCACGUGUGGCCAGGGCGAGCAGUGCUGGCUGCAACGGCAAGGACGUUCGACAGGUUCUAGUUAGAGGUUUAUUUGGGAUUUUUAUGUUUGCUUCUAUGCUGGCAUCGAUGAUGUAA
This 588-nucleotide ribosomal RNA is filed under the name Triticum aestivum (bread wheat). RNAcentral describes it as "partial small subunit ribosomal RNA". The record is from RNAcentral. Lineage: Eukaryota; Viridiplantae; Streptophyta; Magnoliopsida; Poales; Poaceae.